AGGACGAACGCUGGCGGCGUGCUUAACACAUGCAAGUCGAGGGCACUAUGCGGGCAACCGCGUGGUGACCGGCGAACGGGUGCGUAACACGUGAGCAACCUGCCCAAGUGUGGGGGAUAGCCGGCCCAACGGCCGGGUAAUACCGCAUACGCUUUUCCGGGGGAGUCCCUGGGAAAGGAAACUUCAGGGGCACUUGGAGGGGCUCGCGGCCUAUCAGCUAGUUGGCGUGGUAACGGCACACCAAGGCAUCGACGGGUAGCUGGUCUGAGAGGAUGGCCAGCCACAUUGGGACUGAGAUACGGCCCAGACUCCUACGGGAGGCAGCAGUGGGGAAUAUUGCGCAAUGGCCGCAAGGCUGACGCAGCGACGCCGCGUGUGGGAGGACGCCGUUUCGGGGUGUAAACCACUGGUUGCCCGGGACGAACCGCUGGUUUCGACCAGCCUGACGGUACCGGUGAGGAAGCACCGGCUAACUCCGUGCCAGCAGCCGC
This 491-nucleotide ribosomal RNA is filed under the name uncultured soil bacterium. RNAcentral's name for it is "bacterial SSU rRNA". It matches the Rfam family "Bacterial small subunit ribosomal RNA", at positions 26 to 518 of the family's 1533-position model. The record is from RNAcentral.